UCCCGCGCAGGCUACGUGCGUCCCCUCCGCUACCUAAGCCCCGCCCCUCAAGCGCAAGGCCUAAGGCGGAGCCGGGAGUGAAGAGAGGUCAGGACGCUCUGCUGUCGGGCAGCCACUACAAGGGGGGCGCUGCGCUGCGCUGCGCUGCGCUAGGGAGGAAGAGGGAGCGCCGCGGCCGAGCGUGUAUUGCGCGGGGGAAGACGGACGCUCUUGGCUCAUCCACCAAUCUGCCAGCAUUGAAACUCAUCUUGACUCAUCUCAGCUUCCUCAAGCUUAAGUCAGACAGAGCAGACCAGGCUAAGGACUUCCUCGGGGACAGAGGGAGGUGGCCGGCUGGCCUUGCUCUUGUUGAAGGAACUUUAUUUUCACCUGUGAGCGCUGACAGUCACCACACAAUCACAACAUCCCCUCAUCAGCCCACCAGUGGGACUGUCUACCAGCCCUGCAAAGGCAUGGGGGUAAUCAUGGCUUGAUGUCGAUCCAGGAAACAGAGGUGAUGGAGAGCUUGGGUGACGGAGAGCGAGUCGUAGACAAAGUGGUUGGCUCUGGUUCGGCUCGAGAAGUUGAUUGCGUAGGCUCAUCCGCUGCUGGCUGUUUUUCCUUGAAAAACAUGGUGAUCGGCAACUGUCACUCUUGUCUUUUGAGCUGCUCUAACAUUUCUUGAUACAGUCUGAAAUCAUCCGUAAUACUACGUGUGAUUUUGAGGCUUCAUUCCAUGGAGGGAUCGUAUUCAGAAAUUAAAUCAUUCAAGUGUUGCGCUGCUUGGAACACUUCAGCAAAUUUAUGAAGAUUCCAACUUGCUGGCUCUUCCUGUUUGUUGUCAUCAUCUUCGUCUUCUGUAGACGAUUUUAUCAGUUCCUCUAAUUCUUCGUUAGUCAGUGUUUCUCUUUGGCUCUCAAUCAGUUCUUCAGUUUCUUCCUCAAGGAUGUCAACAAAGCCAUCACCACCCACUUGCCUGACCACCUGAACAAUGUGUUUCACUUCUUUGUCAAUAUUUGGGAAACCCUUAAAAUCAUUCACACAUUCUAUUGGUUUCACCAACAUGCAUUGACUGUUUCAGGCUUGAUUGCAUCUAUUGCCUGUUUAAUAUAAGUGAUGCAAUCGGCAAUGUUGAAGGACUUCCAACACUCCAUCACAUUAAGAUUGGAAUCAGCAUCCAUAGUGCUACGUAUCCAUGAGAACGUAAGCUUCGUAUAUGUGGCCUUGAAACUCACGCCUUGGUUGAGGGGAUGGAGGUGGUAUUUGGGGGGAGAUAGACGACUUCAACAUCGUUAUGUGCAAACCAGAGUGCCGCAGGGUGACCAAGAGCAUUGUCUACAAUCAGCAACACUUUGAAGUCAAGUCCAUUCUCUUCGAGGUACCGCUUGACCUCCGGAAUGAAACACUUAUGGAACCAAUCCAGGAAUAUGCUGCUGUCACCCAAGCCUUUUUAUUUGAUUGCCAGAACACAGGCAGGAGAUUUUUGUUCUUGCCUUUUAAGGCACGGGGAUUUACAGCCCUGUAGAGCAAGCCCGGCUUUAUUAAAUGCCCAGCCGUGUUACCACAGAACAACACAGUCACACGGUCUUUAGCUGCUUUGAAGCCAGGGGUUUGUCUUUCUGAUUUCAAAAUGUAAGUACAGUUGGGCUUCCCCCCCCCCCUCCAGA
Mauremys reevesii (Reeves's turtle) is the source of this 1646-nucleotide long non-coding RNA. RefSeq lists it as uncharacterized. Lineage: Eukaryota; Metazoa; Chordata; Testudines; Geoemydidae. The transcript has 3 exons. The record is from RefSeq and is a predicted model, not a curated record.